GACGAACGCUGGCGGCGUGCCUAACACAUGCAAGUCGAGCGGGGUUGAAGCGAGAGGUAACUCGAACUUCUACCUAGCGGCGGACGGGUGAGUAACGCGUGGGCAACCUGCCUCAAGGUCUGGGAUAACAGCCCGAAAGGGCUGCUAAUACUGGGUAUGCUUGUGGCCUCGCAUGGGGCUAUGAGCAAAGGGGAAACCCGCCUUGAGAUGGGCCCGCGUCCCAUCAGCUAGUUGGUGAGGUAACAGCUCACCAAGGCGACGACGGGUAGCCGGCCUGAGAGGGUGACCGGCCACACUGGGACUGAGACACGGCCCAGACUCCUACGGGGGCAGCAGUGGGGGAUCUUGCACAAUGGGCGAAAGCCUGAUGCAGCGACGCCGCGUGAGCGAAGAAGGCCUUCGGUCGUAAGCUCUGUCUGGAGGGACGGAAGGAAGUGACGGUACCGUCCGGAGGAAGCCACGGCUAACUACGUGCCAGCAGCCGCGGUAAAGUACACGUGUUACG
Molecule: ribosomal RNA, 505 nt
Filed under: uncultured bacterium
Lineage: Bacteria
Description: bacterial SSU rRNA
Rfam family: Bacterial small subunit ribosomal RNA
Source: RNAcentral